RNAcentral lists this long non-coding RNA (573 nucleotides) under Podarcis muralis (Common wall lizard). RNAcentral's name for it is "lncRNA (ENSPMRG00000009058.1)". The record is from RNAcentral. Lineage: Eukaryota; Metazoa; Chordata; Lepidosauria; Squamata; Lacertidae.
AUGAGAAUUCUUCUGUGCACAGGCCUCCUCUUGAGCUUGUUUUCAGUAGGGGCAUCACUACAAUGUAUGACAUGUCUAUAUCUGUACAACAACAAGUGUCUCAUGCGACAGGCACGUAAAUGUUCAGAGGAAACUUGCCGUGAAGUUGCUCUACAAAGCUAUAUAUUUUGUGAAGACAUCCUCAGCCUUACUUACAGUGACUGCGCUAACACUCAGGAUUGUAUCCCAGGCACCUUUUCUAUUUCUGGAGGAACCCCCCAAUUCUUUCGGAUGCAAGCUGAAUGCUGCAAUACUGACGAAUGCAACGAAAACCCUAUUCAAUGUAAGGGCCCUAGUAUUUUGGGCACUUUCUGUAUCAACAAUUCUUGCCCAGAGGCAAAAUAUAGAACUUCCCAAAGACAAAAUGUAAUAUUAAGACACUUAUAUUCCACCAAGUGUCCAUUCCUUUAAAUAUAGCCUUUCCAUAAUAUAUGCAUAAUAUACUUCAGCCCUUACAGAAUGUGUAUGGAGCUGACUUACCUACUUGAACAAGUGUUUUGCUGUCUUAUCAUUCCAUUGUGGACCGACUGAAAG